Molecule: non-coding RNA, 99 nt
Organism: Acanthosepion pharaonis
Lineage: Eukaryota; Metazoa; Mollusca; Cephalopoda; Sepiida; Sepiidae
Source: the annotation of a GenBank genome assembly
UUGAAACACCGCUUUCCGGACGAUCUCCGAAUUUAAGCAACGUUGAGACUGGUUAGUACCAAGAUGAGAGACCGUUUGUGAAUACCAAGUACUGUAAGC